Ochotona princeps (American pika) is the source of this 727-nucleotide long non-coding RNA. RefSeq lists it as uncharacterized. NCBI's taxonomy places the organism in Eukaryota, Metazoa, Chordata, Mammalia, Lagomorpha, Ochotonidae. The transcript has 5 exons. The record is from RefSeq and is a predicted model, not a curated record.
UCUGUUUCCCGAUCAAAGCAGCAUGAGGCCAUCACCAGAAGCUGAGCAGGAGCCAGCACCACAUUCUAUAUCAACUAAACUAUUACAGCAACAAGAGAGGAUAUGCUUUAUUGGACUUGGGGAGACUGUGGCAAGCAACUAUGUGUGUCUUUUCCAAUUGCCCUGAUUCCAUAAUUUUCACUUCUAAAGAGAAGAACAUAUUAGCAAGAGUAAACUAACUAUAGAAGCAAAGAUGCAAGGUGCACGGCAUGGAAAGAAUGGCAGCAAAAAAGCUCAAAAUGUGGCUAGGAGACAAACUGUGAAGGUUCUGGAAGGUGUUAAGAAGGGAGAAGAUUGCUGUGCUUAGAAACAAACUGAGGCUCAAAGGCUUGUCCAAGGCUAUUUAUUACAGAGAAACAGAGGUUCUGGGUUUCAAACUCAGAGAACAAGGGAUGCCCACUGCUGUUCAAGUCCAAGUUAUGCACCUGACCCUGGAUAUUUCCAUCACCUCUACUCCAGAAAACAUCCCAGUGUUUCCUCGCAGGUCCAACUUCUUUUCAACAAAUGAAGCUUUUCCAGAAGGCCAGUGGGCUCCCACUCCAAGCACCUGGGACUCGCGGCCUUCAGAUCUCUCAUGGGGGUCCUUAUGAGAAUUGUAUGAGGGCAUCCUCCAAAACCUCAUGGAAAACACAUAUUAAAGGAAACUUGGCAAGAAUUCCAAAUCUUUGAACCACACAGUAAGCAUAUC